This 627-nucleotide long non-coding RNA is filed under the name Malus domestica (apple). Its description in RNAcentral is "long non-coding RNA (MDOM_LNC014199)". Lineage: Eukaryota; Viridiplantae; Streptophyta; Magnoliopsida; Rosales; Rosaceae. The record is from RNAcentral.
GAAAUUAGGUGCAAUAAAUCUCUGAAGUACAAAAAUAAGGGGAAAAUUCCUGCAAGCAAUAACUCUCUGAACAUACUUCUUGCACACAAUUGGUGCCCCUAUAAAAGAAAAGGCAACAGUGCCAUUGGUUCAAAAAUCGAAGAGGCACCACUCUCCGGAUUUCGAGAAGCAGAUUUUCCUGAGUAAAAUAUGUCGACAAUCCCCACACACAACAUCAGCUCAUCGGGUACCACAGAUAACUUUGUCAAAUAUCUAUGACAAAGUUUAGACACAUAAAUUUUAAAGGUCUAGCUACCCUACCAUUACCCACUAGGGUAAAGGAACAACACCACUGCUUGAUAACUGGAAAGUCCCUCUGUGUGUCAACCUCCGUGCUCUGUGGCAAGGCAGAUUGGAAAAAAUGCCUAACCUUUACUCACAUCGAGAAAACACUCCAAACAUGAUUACUUGCUCAAAAAUCGAAGAGGCACCGCUCCUCGAAUCUCGAGAGCCAAACUCCACCAGGAUUGCUUUCUCAAAAAUCGAAGAGGCACCGCUAUCCGACUCUCAAGAUCCAGACUCACAACACGAUUGCUUUCUCAAAAAUCGAAGAGGCACCCCUCUCCGAAUCUCGAGAGCCAGACUCCC